Molecule: unclassified non-coding RNA, 23 nt
Filed under: Mus musculus (house mouse)
Lineage: Eukaryota; Metazoa; Chordata; Mammalia; Rodentia; Muridae
Description: oocyte_clustered_small_RNA4275
Source: RNAcentral
GGGAGUUAAUACGAGUCUGGUGG